UGUGAAUUCAUGAUGAAUAAUUGUUUUGUUUGCACUAAAAUAUGCAUCCUCCGUGAGCAACCUUUAUAAUUUCCUUGACAUUUUUGUGUUAUAAUUUAUCCUAUUCCCAGCAUCACAAGCCUUGCUUUAAAGAUUGGCCCCCAUCACAAAAAACACACUUGGCCACUAGUGGGCCACCCUGCCACGGCUAUAACACGUUUCAAAUCAUUUUACUUAAUUUAUCUCUCUACUCAGGUCUUCAGUCACUUUGCCGUGUGCCUUGCAAGGACAAAUAACUUGCCUUUAUCUUCUCCUGGUGUCGUGCACCAAGGUUUCAAGUUGAGACUUGGUCAUCCUCUCAGGACAAACUAGACCUCACCUUCUCCUUCCCCUGAGGUGAGGAUCGGUCAGAGUCCAUCAACAAUUAGUGACGAUGACACAGGUGAAACUUAUUUAGUUACUGUAUUGAAGACUCACAAAUUAAAUUGAAAAUACUGUUGUGUGUGUGUGUGUGUGUGUGUGUCGGUGUGGCUUUCUGCCGUGAUCCAGUACUAAAGACAGCCAUGAAGAAGUACACGGUGAGAUACAUUAACACUUAACUUUUGUAUUCAGAUAAUGUAAUCUACACACACACUCCUCCUUUAAUCAUUUUACUUAAUUUAUCUCCCUACUUAGGUCACUAACUAACACUUUUUUUUAUUUGGGUUACACUUGAAUCAGGACAACACAGUUGAAAGGCGGAGAGAAAUUGCCAUUUGCUGCCUCAUAGUCUAUCUUGAAUAGGAGGAGGAGGACCUAUUCAAACAGUACCAUGUAAGUAAUUGAGUAUACUUUUAAUUUUUACUUUUGUUUGCAUUGCAUGUCUCUGUAGCCUUCCCAUGUUUCAAUCCUGUGCACCAGCCAGCUCCUGUGGGCUAGGCUUUGAAGUACAUGGUCACCCUUCAUUCCCUUAUGCACGUCACCCUGAAGAGCUUGAGCCAUGUAUUUUAUACUUCCUAACAUCUUUUAAUUUCUUCUUCAAGGAUGUGGAGGAGCUCGAUGCAGACUUUGCGAUGCAAGUGAUGAAGAUUGCCAUCAUCGAUUCCUUCUUUUGCUGGAUAUUUUUCCUGGAGUUAGUCAGGAGUAUGAGCAGUCUGAUAUUGAUGAGAGAAGAAAUGAUAAUUCCCACCUAACCAGACUUGCUCCCCUGUGCCAUCGACUCUGCUGUGGUGGUCCUCUGCUCCACCCUGGUGGGAUUAUGUCCCAUCUUCUCAGCUGUGGUGGUCCUCUGCCCUGCCCACCAGGUGGUGGGCUUUUUUUUUGAUGAGAGGAUUAAUAAAAACAAGUUUGAAGGUUUUGGGGACAUGCUUAGAUGGAAUAGGGUCUAACAUACACUGUUGUUAAACAACAAGUUGUUGUUAAAACAGUAGCCUGUGCAGAACCCAGAUAAAGUGUAGCAAGCUAAUUUAAUGUAUACUUUAUUUUCCCAUAUAAGUACAUUUGUUUUCUGCUUGAAGCACCACAUUUUACUAUACAUACAUACAGAGAGGAACAUAUUAACAACCAUGUAGAUGAUUAAGAUAAUAGAAGUCCUUUACUUGUUGCUAUUUAAAUUCACAGGGCUUGUAAAGGGGUUCAUUUUCUCACUCAAGAUAUUUAAGGGACCACAACCAUAACCAUUUGUAUUCCUUCCAAAGUUCCAC
Molecule: long non-coding RNA, 1661 nt
Filed under: Carassius auratus (goldfish)
Lineage: Eukaryota; Metazoa; Chordata; Actinopteri; Cypriniformes; Cyprinidae
Description: lncRNA (ENSCARG00000049889.1)
Source: RNAcentral